UCGACGCCAGUUUAUGUAGAA
This 21-nucleotide non-coding RNA is filed under the name Caenorhabditis elegans. Lineage: Eukaryota; Metazoa; Nematoda; Chromadorea; Rhabditida; Rhabditidae. The record is from RNAcentral.